Long non-coding RNA from Oncorhynchus tshawytscha (Chinook salmon), 527 nucleotides. The record is from Ensembl. NCBI's taxonomy places the organism in Eukaryota, Metazoa, Chordata, Actinopteri, Salmoniformes, Salmonidae.
CCACCCAGCUAACAGUCCAGCUAUAGGGAGGAGGUGUAGGGAGGAGGUGUAGGGAGGAGCUGUAGGGAGGAGGUGUACCACCCAGCUAACAGUCCAGCUAUAGGGAGGAGGUGUAGGGAGGAGGUGUAGGGAGGAGGUGUACCACCCAGCUAACAGUCCAGCUAUAGGGAGGAGGUGUAGGGAGGAGGUGUAGGGAGGGGGUGUACCACCCAGCUAACAGUCCAGCUAUAGGGAGGAGGUGUUGGGAGGAGGUGUACCACCCAGCUAACAGUCCAGCUUAUAGGGAGGAGGUGUAGGGAGGUGGUGUACCACCCAGCUAACAGUCCAGCUAUAGGGAGGAGGUGUAGGGAGGAGGUGUAGGGAGGAGGUGUACCACACAGCUAACAGUCCAGCUAUAGGGAGGAGGUGUAGGGAGGAGGUGUAGGGAGGAGGUGUACCACACAGCUAACAGUCCAGCUAUAGGGAGGAGGUGUAGGGAGGAGGUGUAGGGAGGAGGUGUACCACCCAGCUAACAGUCCAGCUAUAGG